RNAcentral lists this ribosomal RNA (2902 nucleotides) under Escherichia coli. Its description in RNAcentral is "bacterial LSU rRNA". It matches the Rfam family "Bacterial large subunit ribosomal RNA". Lineage: Bacteria; Pseudomonadati; Pseudomonadota; Gammaproteobacteria; Enterobacterales; Enterobacteriaceae. The record is from RNAcentral.
UUAAGCGACUAAGCGUACACGGUGGAUGCCCUGGCAGUCAGAGGCGAUGAAGGACGUGCUAAUCUGCGAUAAGCGUCGGUGAGGUGAUAUGAACCGUUAUAACCGGCGAUUUCCGAAUGGGGAAACCCAGUGUGUUUCGACACACUAUCAUUAACUGAAUCCAUAGGUUAAUGAGGCGAACCGGGGGAACUGAAACAUCUAAGUACCCCGAGGAAAAGAAAUCAACCGAGAUUCCCCCAGUAGCGGCGAGCGAACGGGGAGGAGCCCAGAGCCUGAAUCAGUGUGUGUGUUAGUGGAAGCGUCUGGAAAGGCGCGCGAUACAGGGUGACAGCCCCGUACACAAAAAUGCACAUAUUGUGAGCUCGAUGAGUAGGGCGGGACACGUGGUAUCCUGUCUGAAUAUGGGGGGACCAUCCUCCAAGGCUAAAUACUCCUGACUGACCGAUAGUGAACCAGUACCGUGAGGGAAAGGCGAAAAGAACCCCGGCGAGGGGAGUGAAAAAGAACCUGAAACCGUGUACGUACAAGCAGUGGGAGCCUCUUAAUGGGGUGACUGCGUACCUUUUGUAUAAUGGGUCAGCGACUUAUAUUCUGUAGCAAGGUUAACCGAAUAGGGGAGCCGAAGGGAAACCGAGUCUUAACUGGGCGUUAAGUUGCAGGGUAUAGACCCGAAACCCGGUGAUCUAGCCAUGGGCAGGUUGAAGGUUGGGUAACACUAACUGGAGGACCGAACCGACUAAUGUUGAAAAAUUAGCGGAUGACUUGUGGCUGGGGGUGAAAGGCCAAUCAAACCGGGAGAUAGCUGGUUCUCCCCGAAAGCUAUUUAGGUAGCGCCUCGUGAAUUCAUCUCCGGGGGUAGAGCACUGUUUCGGCAAGGGGGUCAUCCCGACUUACCAACCCGAUGCAAACUGCGAAUACCGGAGAAUGUUAUCACGGGAGACACACGGCGGGUGCUAACGUCCGUCGUGAAGAGGGAAACAACCCAGACCGCCAGCUAAGGUCCCAAAGUCAUGGUUAAGUGGGAAACGAUGUGGGAAGGCCCAGACAGCCAGGAUGUUGGCUUAGAAGCAGCCAUCAUUUAAAGAAAGCGUAAUAGCUCACUGGUCGAGUCGGCCUGCGCGGAAGAUGUAACGGGGCUAAACCAUGCACCGAAGCUGCGGCAGCGACACUAUGUGUUGUUGGGUAGGGGAGCGUUCUGUAAGCCUGUGAAGGUGUACUGUGAGGUAUGCUGGAGGUAUCAGAAGUGCGAAUGCUGACAUAAGUAACGAUAAAGCGGGUGAAAAGCCCGCUCGCCGGAAGACCAAGGGUUCCUGUCCAACGUUAAUCGGGGCAGGGUGAGUCGACCCCUAAGGCGAGGCCGAAAGGCGUAGUCGAUGGGAAACAGGUUAAUAUUCCUGUACUUGGUGUUACUGCGAAGGGGGGACGGAGAAGGCUAUGUUGGCCGGGCGACGGUUGUCCCGGUUUAAGCGUGUAGGCUGGUUUUCCAGGCAAAUCCGGAAAAUCAAGGCUGAGGCGUGAUGACGAGGCACUACGGUGCUGAAGCGACAAAUGCCCUGCUUCCAGGAAAAGCCUCUAAGCAUCAGGUAACAUCAAAUCGUACCCCAAACCGACACAGGUGGUCAGGUAGAGAAUACCAAGGCGCUUGAGAGAACUCGGGUGAAGGAACUAGGCAAAAUGGUGCCGUAACUUCGGGAGAAGGCACGCUGAUAUGUAGGUGAAGCGACUUGCUCGUGGAGCUGAAAUCAGUCGAAGAUACCAGCUGGCUGCAACUGUUUAUUAAAAACACAGCACUGUGCAAACACGAAAGUGGACGUAUACGGUGUGACGCCUGCCCGGUGCCGGAAGGUUAAUUGAUGGGGUUAGCGGUAACGCGAAGUUCUUGAUCGAAGCCCCGGUAAACGGCGGCCGUAACUAUAACGGUCCUAAGGUAGCGAAAUUCCUUGUCGGGUAAGUUCCGACCUGCACGAAUGGCGUAAUGAUGGCCAGGCUGUCUCCACCCGAGACUCAGUGAAAUUGAACUCGCUGUGAAGAUGCAGUGUACCCGCGGCAAGACGGAAAGACCCCGUGAACCUUUACUAUAGCUUGACACUGAACAUUGAGCCUUGAUGUGUAGGAUAGGUGGGAGGCUUUGAAGUGUGGACGCCAGUCUGCAUGGAGCCGACCUUGAAAUACCACCCUUUAAUGUUUGAUGUUCUAACGUGGGCCCCUUACCGGGGUUGCGGACAGUGUCUGGUGGGUAGUUUGACUGGGGCGGUCUCCUCCUAAAGAGUAACGGAGGAGCACGAAGGUUGGCUAAUCCUGGUCGGACAUCAGGAGGUUAGUGCAAUGGCAUAAGCCAGCUUGACUGCGAGCGUGACGGCGCGAGCAGGUGCGAAAGCAGGUCAUAGUGAUCCGGUGGUUCUGAAUGGAAGGGCCAUCGCUCAACGGAUAAAAGGUACUCCGGGGAUAACAGGCUGAUACCGCCCAAGAGUUCAUAUCGACGGCGGUGUUUGGCACCUCGAUGUCGGCUCAUCACAUCCUGGGGCUGAAGUAGGUCCCAAGGGUAUGGCUGUUCGCCAUUUAAAGUGGUACGCGAGCUGGGUUUAGAACGUCGUGAGACAGUUCGGUCCCUAUCUGCCGUGGGCGCUGGAGAACUGAGGGGGGCUGCUCCUAGUACGAGAGGACCGGAGUGGACGCAUCACUGGUGUUCGGGUUGUCAUGCCAAUGGCACUGCCCGGUAGCUAAAUGCGGAAGAGAUAAGUGCUGAAAGCAUCUAAGCACGAAACUUGCCCCGAGAUGAGUUCUCCCUGACUCCUUGAGAGUCCUGAAGGAACGUUGAAGACGACGACGUUGAUAGGCCGGGUGUGUAAGCGCAGCGAUGCGUUGAGCUAACCGGUACUAAUGAACCGUGAGGCUUAACCUU